AUUGAGCGCUGGCGGCAUGCUUUACACAUGCAAGUCGAACGGUAACAGGUUAAGCUGACGAGUGGCGAACGGGUGAGUAAUGCAUCGGAACGUGCCCGGUCGUGGGGGAUAACACUUCGAAAGAAGUGCUAAUACCGCAUACGCUCUGAGGAUGAAAGCGGGGGACCGUAAGGCCUCGCGCGAUCGGAGCGGCCGAUGUCAGAUUAGGUAGUUGGUGGGGUAAAGGCUCACCAAGCCGACGAUCUGUAGCUGGUCUGAGAGGACGACCAGCCACACUGGGACUGAGACACGGCCCAGACUCCUACGGGAGGCAGCAGUGGGGAAUUCUGGACAACGGGCGCAAGCCUGAUCCAGCAAUGCCGCGUGCAGGAAGAAGGCCUUCGGGUUGUAAACUGCUUUUGUACGGAGCGAAAAGGCUCUCUCUAAUACAGGGGGCUCAUGACGGUACCGUAAGAAUAAGCACCGGCUAACUACGUGCCAGCAGCCGCUGUAA
RNAcentral lists this ribosomal RNA (493 nucleotides) under uncultured bacterium. RNAcentral describes it as "partial 16S ribosomal RNA". It matches the Rfam family "Bacterial small subunit ribosomal RNA", at positions 30 to 523 of the family's 1533-position model. The record is from RNAcentral.